Non-coding RNA from Schizosaccharomyces pombe (fission yeast), 374 nucleotides. Lineage: Eukaryota; Fungi; Ascomycota; Schizosaccharomycetes; Schizosaccharomycetales; Schizosaccharomycetaceae. The record is from the annotation of a GenBank genome assembly.
CAUAUAUUGUUUUGAGUUCUGUGACUUAAUCAUGCUGAAUACACGAAAAAAGGCUUGCAGCUUUAAAGUCUUACUACACAGACCAGCUAAGAAUGGAGUUUUAAGUUUUUAAUAACUGAGAACAAGUAAAGCUUUGUGAAACAUGAGUUAUUCACAAUUGGACGCGUUAUUUCCGUAAAUUUUAGGAUUUGACGAUGAAGAGUUUAAAAUAUUUGUUUAGGCUCUAAUGUGUUUGUGAUAUUAAGGACUUAUCAAUUGUUGAAAUAUUAUUCAUCAUUUUUAUACGCUAUUAUGAAUUUUAAAAUCAGAAGCUGCUUGAGGGUUUUAGAGAUGUGUUGUGAAGUGGGAGAAAUAUUUUCGCGUUGAUAAGUGUU